GUGCCAGCCGCCGCGGGUAAUACGUAGGGCGCAAGCGUUGUCCGGAAUUAUUGGGCGUAAAGAGCUUGUAGGCGGUUUGUCGCGUCUGCUGUGAAAUUUCGGGGCUCAACCCCGAACUUGCAGUGGGUACGGGCAGACUAGAGUGUGGUAGGGGAGACUGGAAUUCCUGGUGUAGCGGUGAAAUGCGCAGAUAUCAGGAGGAACACCGAUGGCGAAGGCAGGUCUCUGGGCCACUACUGACGCUGAGAAGCGAAAGCAUGGGGAGCGAACGGGAUUAGAUACCCCCGUAGUCC
RNAcentral lists this ribosomal RNA (293 nucleotides) under uncultured bacterium. Its description in RNAcentral is "partial 16S ribosomal RNA". It matches the Rfam family "Bacterial small subunit ribosomal RNA", at positions 505 to 796 of the family's 1533-position model. The record is from RNAcentral.